AAGUGUCUGACUUAUCAACUUUAGACGGUACAUUAUAUGUCUACCGUGGUUGUAACGAGUACAGAGAAUCAGGGUUUGGUUCUGGAGAGGCCGCCUGAGAAACGGCGACCACUUCCAAGGAAGGCAGCAGGCGCGCAAAUUACCCACUCUACAAAACGAGGAGGUAGUGAAGAGAAAUAACGAUGUUAGUCUUCUAUAGGCUGACAAUUCGGAAUGGGAACACUGUAAACAGGUUAUCGAUUAACAAUUGGAGGGCAAGUCUGGUGCCAGCAGCCGCGGUAAUUCCAGCUCCAAUAAGGAAAACUAAAGUUGCUGUGUUUUAAAAAGCUCGUAGUUGAAUUUCGGGUAUUUUGUUGCUAGCUGGUCUCAUUGGCCAUGUUGGUUAACAGAUCCUCAUCUGCUGGACGUCUGGCGAUGAUCUUUUAUCGGUUGUCGUCAGUUGCCAGCACGUUUACUUUGAGAAAA
RNAcentral lists this ribosomal RNA (465 nucleotides) under uncultured eukaryote. RNAcentral describes it as "SSU rRNA". It matches the Rfam family "Eukaryotic small subunit ribosomal RNA", at positions 301 to 765 of the family's 1831-position model. The record is from RNAcentral.